UUUACAUGUUAUACCAAAUUUGCAAUGCCCCGUUUUCAAAUAAUAGGUGCAUUCAAUUUCCCCCAUGCGUAAUGGAUAUCCAUAAGUAUUUAGUGGUAUAUUGCUCAAGCUUCCACCAAAGUUCCUAGGGUGGUGAAACUUGCAGGAUACACCAAAUUUACAGGUACCUGUUCUUAAAAAGUACUGGCAGAUCGGCUCUCCCAUUCUUUCUGGGAACUCAACUCCUCCCAACUGCAUCUUACCACCAGAACGCCGAUCACGAUCGCUCGGAUGGUUAAACCGGCAAUUAGGUCCAUAACCACAUGACCCAUUUCGCAAAUAAUACGAACAAUCAGGAACACCAGGCCUUUCUGGGUAUACCUCCCUUCCAAAUAACCCCAACUUCUGCAUUGAUCCCGUUUCUUGCUCCACUGAAACCCAUUCCGACUGAUGAUCAGAUUGUGACCCAUUACUCCCUGAAGACGGCCCAUACAGCUCCAUCUGUAUUUUUUUUUAGGUCUUCUUAGUAUGCAAUAAGAUGGGAGAAAAAGUGUACGACACACCAAGGAGAAAUUGCCAACUGUGGAAAAACGAAAUAGAGA
Molecule: unclassified non-coding RNA, 581 nt
Filed under: Hevea brasiliensis (rubber tree)
Lineage: Eukaryota; Viridiplantae; Streptophyta; Magnoliopsida; Malpighiales; Euphorbiaceae
Source: RNAcentral